RNAcentral lists this transfer RNA (75 nucleotides) under Methanomicrobiales archaeon. Its description in RNAcentral is "tRNA-Glu". It matches the Rfam family "tRNA". From Rfam's summary of the family: Transfer RNA (tRNA) molecules are approximately 80 nucleotides in length. Their secondary structure includes four short double-helical elements and three loops (D, anti-codon, and T loops). Further hydrogen bonds mediate the characteristic L-shaped molecular structure. tRNAs have two regions of fundamental functional importance: the anti-codon, which is responsible for specific mRNA codon recognition, and the 3' end, to which the tRNAs corresponding amino acid is attached (by aminoacyl-tRNA synthetases). tRNAs cope with the degeneracy of the genetic code in two manners: having more than one tRNA (with a specific anti-codon) for a particular amino acid; and 'wobble' base-pairing, i.e. permitting non-standard base-pairing at the 3rd anti-codon position. The record is from RNAcentral. Lineage: Archaea; Methanobacteriati; Methanobacteriota; Methanomicrobia; Methanomicrobiales.
GCUGCCAUAGUGUAGACCGGUCAAUCAUGCAGGACUCUCACUCCUGCGACUCGGGUUCAAAUCCCGAUGGCAGCA